UCCCCUGUGGUGUAAUUGGUAACACAGCUGUUUUUGGUACAGUCAUUUCAGGUUCAAGUCCUGGCGGGGGAACCA
RNAcentral lists this transfer RNA (75 nucleotides) under Paracoccaceae bacterium. Its description in RNAcentral is "tRNA-Gln". It matches the Rfam family "tRNA". From Rfam's summary of the family: Transfer RNA (tRNA) molecules are approximately 80 nucleotides in length. Their secondary structure includes four short double-helical elements and three loops (D, anti-codon, and T loops). The record is from RNAcentral. RNAcentral also lists the same sequence under 2 other names. Lineage: Bacteria; Pseudomonadati; Pseudomonadota; Alphaproteobacteria; Rhodobacterales; Paracoccaceae.